Molecule: unclassified non-coding RNA, 396 nt
Filed under: Hevea brasiliensis (rubber tree)
Lineage: Eukaryota; Viridiplantae; Streptophyta; Magnoliopsida; Malpighiales; Euphorbiaceae
Source: RNAcentral
GAGCACUAUUUUUAUGUGCACUGAAAGUAUGCUAUAAUCUUCCCUGAAUGCCUAUCCCACCAUAUUGUAAAGACCCAAUGUAAACUAAUUAAAAUGGAUUAAGUGUGUGCGUAUGCACGCGCACACGCGUGUGAGAUAUUAUUUUCUGAUAUCAUGUGAAUAGUAAGUUUAGCCCCAAAAGGAGUUGGAUGUAGGUGAUGAUUUUACAUUGCGAACCCCAACUAGUUUAGAAUUGAGGCUUUUUUGAGUUUAUAUCAUGUUGCUGUUCGGUGGUUUAAUUUAUAAUUGUUAUGUGGUUGAUUAUGGGAAAUUUGAAUUGAAUAGAUUUUGUAAUGAAUCUGUAGCAUUCUUUUUCUUGUGUGCCAUUAUAAUCUUUGAAGAUGAUAAUGACAUGCU